This is a non-coding RNA of Rattus norvegicus (Norway rat), 15095 nucleotides long. The record is from RefSeq and is a predicted model, not a curated record. NCBI's taxonomy places the organism in Eukaryota, Metazoa, Chordata, Mammalia, Rodentia, Muridae.
GCCGCUGUAGCACUCGGACCCUGCUUCUCCAAGCCGCGCAUGGUUACAGGCCGCUGCGCCCCCCCGCUGAUUUCCGCUUCCGCUUCCGUGCUUUGGCGCCUGCGCAGUUGUCGCAAAGUGCGGGGUCUUGGAGAACGACCUCAAUGGCGGCCCAGUACCUCGUGGAGGCUGGGUAUCCUAACGCUGCGCGGCCCCACCGUUCACCCAUCGUGCGGCGACGGCGGUCUCGCGACAGCAUGCAGUGUGCCCUCCGAAGGGCUCUAGCUGUCCUGGAACACUCUCUGUAGUCCAGGCUAGCUUCAAACUCAGAGAUUCGCCUUCCUCUGCCUCCGGAGUGCUGGGGUUUUAAAGGUGUGCGACAUCGUGCCAAGCUUGUCACCUCAGCCUUUUGAACUGUUAUUCCAAGGUAACAAGACGAUUAUGAAAUCCUUUUUUUGUUGUUUGUCUUAGUUUUGAGACAAGGUCUUUCUAUGUAGCCCAGGCUGGCCUCAAACUUGGUGAUCCUCUGCCUUUCUCUCCCAAAUGCUAGAUUCUAGAUGCUCAGCACCAAGCCUAACUCCAACCUUGUCAAAUGAUAAUUUUCCCCUUACAUUUAUGUAUUUUAUGUGGGAGGGAAGUGCAUGUAACACGUGUUUGUGUGUGUGCGCGUGUGUGCAUGUGUGUAUUGUGUAUGUGUGUGUGCGCACGUGUGUGUGUGUAUACGUGUGUGUUGUGUAUAUGUGUGUAUGUGUGUUUGUGUGUGUAUGUGUGUAUGUGUGUGUAUGUGUGUUUGUGUGUGUAUGUGUGUGUGGUGUGUGUGUAUACAUAUGUAUUUGUGUGUGCGUGUAUGUGUGUGGUGUGUGUGUGUAUGUGUGUGUAUACAUGUGUUUGUGUGUGUAUGUGUGUGGUGUGUGUGUAUGUGUGUGUAUGUGUGUGUGGUGUGUGUGUAUAUGUGUGUGUGCGUGCGUGUGUGUGUAUAUACUUGUGUGUGUGCGUGUGUGUGUAUAUGUGUGUGGUGUGUGUAUGUAUGUGUGUAUGUGUGUGUAUACAUGUGUGUGUAUGUGUGUGGUGUGUGUGUGCGUGUGUGUGUGUUUGUGUGUGUAUGUGUGUACGUGUGUGUGGUGUGUGUAUACGUGUGUGUGUGCGUGUGUGUGUAUGUGUGUGUAUGUGUGUGAUGUAUGUGUGUGUGUGUAGUGUGUAUGUGUGCGUGUGUGUGUGUGUGCGUGUGUGUGUGUGUAGUUGUACACUCGUGAGUCUGGAGACGUAGGGGCCCCUGUGGAGCGGGCUAUAGGUACUUUCAAGUAGCUCCAUGUGGAUGGUAAGAACUAAAUUUGUGUCCUUGGCAAAAGCAAUAUGUAUUUUUUAACUGUUAAUCUCUCUCUCCAGCUCCACAGUGUUUUACUCUGUAGUGCAAAGCCUGGCCUGGAGUUCACAGCAAUCCUCCUGCCUUUGCUUCUCAGGUUGUAUGAUUUUUAGGUGUGAGCCAUCAUGCCGUGUAUCCUCUCUUUUUUUAUUAUUAUUUUUUAAAUGUAUUCUUCUCUCAUAUAUUACAUCCAGAUCACAGUUUCUCCUCCCUUCCUUCCCCCCACAUCCCCUCUUCCACAGAUGCACUUCUCCUCUGUUUCCCUUUAGAAAAGAGCGGGGGCCCCAUGGUUAUCAACCAAACAAAACAAGUUAUAACAAGUUACAACAGGACUAGGUGUACAUCUUCACAUCAAGGCUGAACUCAGUAGGAGGAAAAGGGUCCCAAGAGCAGGCAAAAGAGUCAGUCUUUGUGUUUCAAUUUGCGUUCUCACUAAGCCCUGUGAAGCAUUAAAGUCCCGAUCUCCCAACACCACCUCUUGAGCGCUUGUAUGCACCACCAAAUCAGACCUAAAGUACCCUUUAAACACUGGCAAAACCAAUAAAGGGUAACAGAAGCUUCCCUGGAUGUCUGCCGCAGGGGCUGAUGGAGACACAGAGAAAGAAAGCAGGGGAAGUUUCUUGUGUCACGACUCUACUGCUGUGACCUUGGGCAAGAGAGUUAACCCACUGGACUCUACAUUAGAAGCAAACACACAAAGAAAAAACACACGGGGGGGUUGGGGAUUUAGCUCAGUGGUAGAGUGCUUGCCUAGCAAGCGCAAGGCCCUGGGUUCGGUCCCCAGCUCUGAAAAAAAAAUAAAAAAUAAAAAAUAAAUUUAAAGCAAAAACACACAGGCACAACACCAGGCGACUCGGACGACUGUUGUGAAGGUUGUGUGAGCAGGAGCACCGCCGUGCCACACCCACGCUCACUCCCCUCUUAGGAAAGGAACCUACCCAAGUUGCCAUUGUGACGUCUGCCUCCCCUGUGCCUCAGCUUUUCUCUUCUUCAGUUGUUCUCUGUUUCUCAAACUCCAAGAUCCAAUGAUGUCUGCCGGGUGAAAAGCGAAGUUACUGCAGUGUGUACCGGUGACCCAUGGUGUGCCUAAGCAAAUAUCUCACCACACAAGCUUGGUCACAAGUUAUGAUUUAUUUACCUUUACAUCAUAUUAUUUCCCACGGACAGGUGUUUUUGCCUGCGUGUGUGUCUGUGCCCCACAGGAAUGAAUGGCUGGUGCCUAAGGAAGCCAGCAGAGGACAUCAGAUUCCCUAGAUCUGGAGUUAGAGACAGUUGGGAGCUGCCAUGUGGGCGCUGAGAAUUGAACCCAGGUCCUCUGGAAGAGAAAACAGCCAGUGCUCCUAACUGCUGAGCCAUCUCUCCAGAUACCUACAGAAUUUUAGAAAUACUACCCUGGGUUUUGUCCUGGAUUUAUGAGUUCAAGGACUAGGUCUUCCCUAUCCUUACACAGUCAAAAAAAAAAAAAAAAAAAAAAAAAGAAAAGAAAAGAAAUGUGGAGAAGAUUCUUUUUUUCUUUUUUUAGAUAGGGGUCUCAGUAUGUAGCCUGGACCUGGAACUUGUGUAGGCUAGCCUUGGACUCACAGCUCCACCUGUCUCUGCACUAGGAGCGCUGAGAUUAAAGACUUACAGCAACAUACCCAGGGAGCAAAACAGUUUUCUUUAGUUUUUAGGGUUUUUUGUUUGUUUGUUUUGUUUUUUGAGACAGGGUUUCUUUGUGUAGCCCUGGCUGUCCUGGAACUUGCUCCAUAGACCAGGCUAGCCUCAAACUCAAGAGAUCCACCUGCUUCUGCCUCCUAAGUUCUGGGAUUAAAGGCUGGAGCAGGCAUUUAAUGAGCAUUUAAGUGUGAAAAGCUUUGAGACCUACACAGAUUUGUUCAGAAGUGUGCUAUCAACCUACUGACCCACUCAAAAUAAAUUUAUAUUUGCACAGGUAAUUUUUUAAAAGGCUUUAUUCUAUCGUUUCUGACAUAAUGACCUGUCUUUACUGCAUUCACUCUCUCCAUCCAUGCCACAUAUUACAGAGUAGUGAUUUUUACCAAGAUUUUUAUCUUUUAUUCAUCCAACAUUAGGUCAAAAACAGUUCUGUGACACAGCCUUCAACACUAUAAUCUUCUUGUGACAUGGUGCUUAAGCUAGGUGACACCUUCUCUGGCCACUCAGCCCACUCAUGGGAAAACACAGAAUAUCAUUACCACUUGUCAUUUUUCCUUAUAUGUAAAACUGUAAUAAAAUCAACUCAUAGCCUGGCAUGAUGGGGCACACCUUUAAUCCCAUCUCUCGGGAGGCAGAGGCAGGAAGAUCUCUGAGUUCGAGGCCAGCCUGGUCUACAGAGUGAGUUCCAGGACAGCCAGGGCUACACAGAGAAACCCUAUCAUAAAAGACCAAAUAAUAAUAUCCAACUGAAGUAAGCAUAUUCACAUAACUGUUUUUUUUUUCUCUUGGAGGAAUGGUAGACAGGGUCUCUCUCUGGUACAUCCCUGGCUGGCCUCGAAUUCCUUAUCCUAACUCUGCUGGGACCAGAGACAUGUACCAGCAAACCCUGCUCGACUGAUGCUUUUAUUAUUAGAUUCUGCCCUUACGGUUGUAUUUAUUAAAAAUUAUUUGGGGGGGGCUGGAGAGAUGGCUCAGCGGUUAAGAGCACGGACUGGGGGUUGGGGAUUUAGCUCAGUGGUAGAGUGCUUGCCUAGGAAGCACAAGGCCCUGGGUUCGGUCCCCAGCUCCGAAAAAAAGAACCCAAAAAAAAAAAAAAAAAAAAAAAGCACGGACUGCUCUUCUAGAGGUCCUGAGUUCAAAUCCCAGCAACCACAUGGUGGCUCACAACCAUCUGUAAAGAGAUCCGAUGCCCUCUUCUGGUAUGUCUAAAGACAGCUACGGUGUACUCACAUACAUACAAUAAAUAAAAAAAAUCUUAAAAAAAUUAUUUGGGACACUAAGGGUACUAUGAACAGCAAAUUCUGGGCUGAGAUGAUGGCUCAUCAGGUAAAGCACUUACCACAGAAACAUGAGGACCAGAGUUCAUACAUAUCCAGUGCCCAUACUUAUAUGGGUUAAGUGGGUAUUGUUGGCCUGCAUGUGAUCCUAGUUUGUAAGGCCUGAGACAGGGGUCCCCAAAGUUAACCAGCUAGGUCAUCUAGUCAAACUAGCAAGCUCUGGGUUCAGUGUGAGACUCUAACUCAAUAUCUAAGGUAGAGAACAAUGAGUGAAACAGACACCUGAUGUCAAACUCUGGCCUAAGCACACAUGCCUAUGUGUCUGUACCCACUGUGCGCACAAAUACAGACAUAUCCACAUGUAUGACAAUGUACAACACUACACAAUUUUUCAAGAAAAAAAAUUUUAAGUCUACUAUGACCUAAAUUUGAGAAAAACUAGUAGUUCUUUAACACAGAGCCUCUCAGCAUGUGGGGGUGUCUGCUCUGCACUGGCAGUCCAAGAAAGGAAGUGCCCUUGGACCAGGACUCCUGUUGUUCUUGGGGCAACAGUUUGCUUUCUUUCUCUCUCUCUUCCUUCCUUCCUUCCUUCCUUCCUUCCUUCCUUCCUUCCUUCCUUCUUUCCUCCCUCCUUCCUUCCUUCCUUUCCUUCUUUCUCUCUUCCUUCCUCCCUCUCUCCCUCCCCCCCUCUCUCUUCCUUCCUUCCUUCCUUCCUUCCUUCCUUCCUUCCUUCCUUCCUUCCUCCUUAUCUAGUAGCACUGGGAAUUUAACCGAGAGCCUCACACAUGCUAGUCAAGCAUUAUGCUACUGAACUAUGUUCCCAGCUCCUGGAUCCUCAAUAGAUAUAAAUUAUAUUUUUACCAAACUCCAAAUAUAAUUUUCUUCAAAGUAGGAAUGUGAGUAAAAAGCCACAGUGGUUUCAGCAGUGUGGCUGUCUAUCACUCAAAGAAAUGACGGGAUAUUUUUUUUCCUACUUGGCACUACAGUUCUUGCGUGUGGCGUCAGUGUGAUCACUUGUGGAUAUGGAUUCUUUUCGGAUUUGAUACUAUGUAUGCUAUGACUUAACACAUCUAUAAGUAAGCACAUAUACUGCUAUAUCACGAUUUUUUUUUUCUAUUCUUUUUUUCGGAGCUGGGGAUCGAACCCAGGGCCUUGCGCUUGCUAGACAAGCGCUCUACCACUGAGCUAAAUCCCCAACCCCUAUAUCAUGAUUUUAACAGUGUUGAUAGCCAUCUUAAUACAAUGAUGACCUUUGUGAUCGAGCCUGUGUAUUUAAGGUUUUUUAGUCCAAGAAAGAGUCUAUGGGUUCAUUAAAAGCUAAAAGUUUUCAAACUGUGCCCUAGGAUAACUUAGAGCCCAGGGUUCCACACAACACUUAGAGAAAUGUUACUUUAGAAUAGAUCUUAAGAUAAAUUAAAAGCCAAAAGAGUAAGCAUUCGGACAGGUCAGACCCUAGAGGAGUUCCUGUUGUCACAUCCUUCCAAACGUCCUGCCAACUGGCUCUGUCACAGAACAGGAGGAGUUGGAUCCUCCUGCCACAGCUGCCCAGUGCUGGGUAUCUCCACUCUCUCCCAUUUCAGAGAAUUUCUCACUAACAAUUUCUUUAUUUCCCCUCGGGUUGCUCUAGACUGUUAAGUUCCUAGCAUCCAAAUGCAGCUCAGUGAGUCAGGCCCAUCUUCCCACAGAUGCAUCCCACUGCCCCUUUCAUCUAACCAGUUCCCAAACAACUAAAAAAAGAAAAAAGAAAGAGGAAAGCAGCAUCCCCCAGCAGCCCCACUCUGUCUUUACCUGGAGCAUGGGACUUCUCUACAUGAGCUUCAGGGGUCUGGUUGAGCGUCAGAUGAGAUUGGUCCUUCCUCACAUCCAUCUUGCCACAACGCCUUCUUGGUAUUUGCUCCGACUUCACAAGCAACCUAAAAGCUUUUUGAAAAUAUCAAAACUAACACUUAAAAAAAAAAAAACCACAGACACACAUUCAAGUCUGCUUGUCACUUCCCGCCUAAAAGUUUUAUCUGGUUAGACCACAGCUGUGGGCGAAUUCCACUUUCUUUAUCACACUGCACAGGUGUGAAGGAGGGGGGAUGGUUGUCAAUGGCCCUGUCAUCCUGCAAGCUUCACUUUUAUACAGGGAACCCCUAUGGCACAGUCAGUCAUGUGGGGCUUCCUGCUCAGCAGCCAUACUGCUAUGUGCCUGGGUUCCUUUUUAGGACACCAAAUGGCUAUGCCAUUCCAAGCUGUGGCCGGAAGGAUGGCUUUUUCAUGAAUGGAGGUGGCCAUGUAUAGGAAGAACCCUGGGUUUAGGCUCUGACCAACUCCAUGGCCCAGAGCAACCCACAUCCCUUUCCUGUGCCUCUACUUGCCAAGUGAGUGAACAAUCACUCUUGCCUGUUUCAGACAUUUCUUAUGAAAGUGAAGCCUAUAGAGUUGGCUAUCGAUUAAUCUUCCUAGGUAGACUAUUGAUUAAUCUUCCUAGGACUGGCUCUUUUCACCGUAAGCUGUUGCAAACUAUCAGCAAGCCUUGCUGUUGUGACCCUAGAAUAGACAAUAGACACAAAGCCCUAACUAGGCUAACAAAGCUAACCUCCACUGCUCACCAGUCAAUGACUAGUGAAGCCUGCUGUUAACGGACCGGAGAGGCAGGUGGCGGGGGGAGCCUCUCUGAGUGAAAAGACCUGGCAUUAUGUUCCAGAAAUGAAGUUGAAAUCGAAGGAACUGCUCUCCAGCGGAUAAGUGGCCUGAAGACAGCAGUAGGCACAGGAAACCACGGCUCAGCCAAAGAGGGAAUAUGGAGGCCAAGGUCAGGAGACACAGGGCCCAUUGUGUUCUGGAGAUAGACUGAGAGGAAAAAGGUUUGAGUUCCAGAGCCUUCCUAGUUCAAGUUAGCCUGGAGCCAGCACAGACCUGGAACAUGGAGACGGUACCUUUGGUAUCUAACACACUCAUGUCAAUACAUGUUAGGUGCUUUACUAUUAGUAAGGACGUGGGCCCAGCACAGUGGCAUAAACUGCCAUCCUAGCACUUGACAGGUACAGUCAGAAGGGUCAGAAGUUCAAGGUUGUCCUCAGCUAUCUGUUUAAGAAGCUGGAAGUAGGGACCAGCCUGGGCUACAUGAGAACCUCUGUCUCCUUCCUCUACCUCUCUGGCUACCUUCUCUCUCUUUAUGUGCACAUGUACUAUAUACCUUCUCUAUGUUAUAUGUGGGUAUAAGAGAACACACAGAAAGGUGGUAAUUAGUAGAGUGUGGUGGCACACAUGAGUUUCUUAUUGAGUUUAACAUAACUCGAUCUACUUCCCUUCUUUAUUCUUGUUUGCUUUGAACAGGAUCACCAACCAGGCAGAACUCAACUCACCGUCCUCCUGCCUCAGAUUCCUGAGUGCUAGGAUUAGGUAUGUGUGAUAUCAUGGUAGCUGAGGAAUGUUGUUUGAAACAUUCUGAAAAGAAUUGGUGACAAUACAGCAAACCCCCAAGUCCCCACCACUAAAGUGUUACCUUUGCGGUAAACAAGCAAGGUUCACACCUCCUGUUCCUUACCUCUCCAUCUUGCAAGUAAAGUAUUGAAAAUCCAGGGAACUCUCAGGGGAGUGCUAGUCAGAGGGACCUCAUGGAGAAGAAUAAGAGGCAUUUUCUAAUAUACCUUUUAAAUGUUUUUGGUUUUCAUAUAUAGAAUUAAAGGCUUCGACGAUAUAAUCUUUGAAAAUUAUGUUUUAUAAUCUAGACCAGCAUUUUAAUUUUUAUUUAUUUAUUUAUUUUUUUUUUUUUGAGCUGGGGACCAAACCCAGAGCCUUGCGCUUGCUAGGCAAGUACUCUACCACUGGGCUAAAUCCCCAACCCCUAGACCAGCAUUUUAAAUGCUGUAACUCUUAGUUUGGUUUCUGGGUUUUGUUUUGUUAUUGUUUGGGCUUUUUCUGGUUUUCUGUUUGUUUGUUUUGGUUUGGUGUUUGUUUGUUUGUUUGUUUGUUUGUUUGUUGAGACAGAGUCUCUCUAUAUAGCUUUGGCUGUCCUGGAUCUUCCUAUGUGACUAGGCUAUCCUUGAAGUCAGAGUUCCACUUGCCUCUGCCUGCUGAGAUUAAAGUCAUGUGCCCCAUGUCUGGCCCUAGAAUGUUCUAAUUUUUAAUAGUUGGGUAAUAGUUCAAUAAAACAGUGUUAUAGAAUCCUUCUGAGAACACCUUCAGAGGAUGGCAGAACUAUUUCUAAAUCAGAUUUCCUCCAGAGUUCUUGAUACCUAUUCAGGGAUGGAGUAGACUGGACAGGAUGUGCACCCUGUGCUAUCUACCUUCUGAGCAAAAUUGUCAGGCCACAGAGGUGGGCAAUGUAGUCCCUGAGUUCUUUGUACUCAAAAGGGAUGGAGUACAUUAUUUUUUUAAAUCACAGUCUCAUGUAUCCCUGGUUGACCUUGAACUCAGUAUGUAGCUGAAGUUGAGUUUGGAAUGUCUUACCCUUCUCCCUCCCUCUCCAAUGCCAGGAGUACUAAAAUUACAAGUGGGGACCACCAUGCCGGGAGUAUCUGAUGAGAAGUCAGAACCCAAGACUUCAUGAAUGCUAGCUGAGUACUGUACCAACUGAGCAAGUUGCCAGCCCAAGGACACACAUCUUUAUUGGAAGGAGAUAGAACAUAGAUCCUUUGUACUCCAUGAAAACUCCCCAAGGUCAUUCUCUGUGGCUGCACCACUCUCCCUGUAUCUAGAAGCAGUGUGAGAGGCUCGGGAGGGUGGGGUCUCAAGUUGACAACAGACUGAGGGUGGAGGGAGCAGUAGAGACACUUUGGAGAAACCUAGAUUGGAAGUCAGGCAAGGUGUCUCUGAGGUGAUAAGGGUCAAGAGCGGGAAUUGGGACAGAAAUAGCCAUGCUGUGAGCCCAAGGGUACAAUCCUUCUGUGUCUGCCUCUGUUACUGAGUGUGAGGGGCCAAGCAUUGUACCCCUAGACCAGGUCUUUAUAACAAAGGCUGCCUUAUUCUAAAGCUAUGUGCAUAUGCACAUAAACCCUCCCUCGAGGCCACAAGCUCCUGGCAGGACAGGCAAUCACCAGUCCCGAGUCACCUGUUUGUCCCCAUAGCAUGAUCUCAAAGGAGACUUGACUCCAGUCAUCCCCACAAGUGGCCUCAGCUCUGUGUGUGCAGAGAGCUACCUGGGAAGAUGUCCCACUGCUGUGAAUUACUUAAAACAGGGCCACCAGCUAGCUAUUCAAGAGUUUUGUUUUUUUUUUUUAAAUCAAUGCCCAGCUCCAGGAGGCUGAGGUAGGAGGGUAUAAGGCUAGCCUGGGCUAUUAGUGAGACCUGUUUAAAAACUAAAAAAAAAAAAAAGUCCCUGACAUUAUGUAGUUUAUAGAUUAUUUAUUUGUUUGUACAGUUUUCUCUGUAUAGCCCUGGCUGUCCUGGAACUCACUCUGUAGACUAGGCUGGCCUCGAUUCAUAGAUCCGACUGCUUCUGCCUCCCAAGUGCUAAGAUAAAAAGUGUGCACCACCAAUGCCCAGCUUAGUUUACAGCCUUUAAAAAGAUGGUGACAGGGGUUGGGGAUUUAGCUCAGUGGUAGAGCGCUUGCCUAGCAAGCGCAAGGCCCUGGGUUCGGUCCCCAGCUCCGAAAAAAAAAAGAAAAAAAAAAAAGACGGUGACACUUCCUUUUAAUCCCAGCACUCAAGAAGCAGAUCUCUGAGUUCAAGGACGGCCAAGGCUGCACAGAGAAACCCUGUCUCAAAGAGAAAAAAAAGAGAGCGAAUGAAAGGAAGAAAGGAAGAAGGAAAGAAAGAAAGAAAGAAAGAAAGAAAGAAGGAAAGAAAGAGAAAAGAACAAAAACAAAGGAAAUAAGUCAAAAAUAAAAGAAGAUCAGAAGCUGUGUGUGUAGUGAUUCAUGUGAGUUCUAGGACAGCCAGCUUUGUCUGUUAUACAGAACCCCUGGAAUGAGACAGAGACAGAGACAGAGACAGAGACAGAGACAGAGACAGAUACACACAGAGACAGAGAUAUAAGUCCAUCCAAAGACAAUAAUAGCCAGGAAUGAUAAGCUAAGAAUAAAGGUGCAAUGGUGGCUGCAAUCUUUAAGUAAGGUGGGAGGGUGAGGCUUGACUUGCACAGGCUAACAAAAUGGAAAGAGAGCCAGGGUGCUGACAGCAUACAGGGCCUGGAGGAUCUGAGGAGAUGGUAGGAUAAGGAGUGGGGGCUCAGAGGAGACCAAGUGGGAUAGACAGCCACAGAUGAUCUGAGCAGGGGGCUGGUGCAAUUUUGACUCCCGUCUUUAAAGGAUGGCUGUGGAUACUGUGUGGACUGAGAAGGGAGUGAAACAGGGAGACCAGUCAGAAGGACACAAAGAUGAACCACGUGAGAAGUGACCACAGCUUGGGCUUCAACCGUGGUAAAGAAGUGGUGGUCAGAAAUAGGACAGGUGGCCUGGGUUAAUUUACAAAUCGGACAUGGGUCGGAAAAGCCAAAGACAAACGUUCGGGAGUAAACGGCUGGGAAGAUGGAGCCGUUACCAGAAGGGGAAGUUGUGGGGAGAUGAGCACUUUAGUUUGAAUGUGCUGUCUCAGCCAGGGAGGACAGCGAGGGACCGAGAACCAGAAAAGCAGGAUGUGCAGGAAGGUUGCUUAGUUGGACAGGAAUCAUGUCUCCCUUCUUGUCAGAUUUUGCUGCUGUGAAGUGAACGAAGGCCUGGAGACUGACCUAACAGUUUCUUUCCUAACAAUUCAAUUCACUUCAUUACAGACUGUGGCACCCAGGGAGGUUAAAUAUAGAUUUGGCUGUGGACAUACAGGUUAAACCAGAUAGUAAUUUGCUGAGGCCCAGGGCAAAAUGAAAACCCAGGUCUCCUCCUUUGAACAUCAUUAAGAUUCUUCAAGAUGGUGGAAACAGACAAUUAACCUAACACAGGGCCUCAUUUAGCAUUUAUUGGGUCCUCACAGCUUCUUUCCAACACAGCUCUUACUGUCCUGCCUUCUCACAGCAAGAAACUCCAUGAGGACACUGGUAUAACCAAAGUCACAGAGCUAGACUGACGGCAAGAGCUGGGAACCCCGGCCCUCAGCCUCCAAGCCUGGCCCUUCUUGAACUACACAGAGGUAGGUUUCAAGACAUAUGGCUGUCCCACCUGGCCACCCAGCAGGUCUACUUAAGGAGCCGGAUCUUGGCUGUGUCUCUCAGAGACCCAAAUAGACUAGAAGCAUAGGAGGGAAGGAAGUAAACAUUUAGGAACCCCUGGCUGGAGGUCUUCAUGGAGAUAAGAGAGCAGAGGAAACAGCUUAGCCAUGCAGCAGACACGGCUCACUCAAUAACAAAGCUGACUUAAAAAUGAUAGUGUUGUUUGAGGCUAGACUAAGGGGUUUUGUUAUUGGGGUUUUUUUUUUAAUAGUUUUUUAUUUAAAUGUGUGGAGAGGGGGCAGAGGGAGAAGGUAUGGGCCCAUGUGCACCCUGGUACAGACUUCAUACACCAUUUGGAUUCCAGGCAUUGUACUCUGGUCAGGCUUGGCAGCAAGCACCUCUACCCACUGAGCCAUCUCGACAGCCCUAGAUUUAAACUUUCAAUCCUCCUGCCCCAGCCUCCCAGGUGUCUAGAAUUAUAGGCCUGCAUCACUGACUGAUAGAACUUUAGAGCGAGCCCUUAAAGAGGAGCAGGAGAGCCUGCUUUAUUCGUCACCUGCUUAGUCUGUGGUGCUGUGAAAGCCACAGGAGCAGGGUUUAAAGUCACCCAAGAGAGCAAAAGACUUGGGCAGCACCAUCCCCUCACGGGGUAAUCUGGGUAGAGUCACUUAAUUCUUUCCACUCCUUGGUUUCUUUUUCUGUAAAACAGAAUAAUCUGGCGGGUUCUGUGAGGAGUAAGGAGACCAAGAGAGCUCUAUAGGAAGUGAGACACUGUGCAGAUAUGAGGCCCACACAUCUGGGCAGUGCACUGUGUAACUGAAGUGUUCCAGUGAGGCUGGGUCCUGUUCCUAAACACAGCAGGGGGUACAAAAUCCCAGGAGGAGCCUCACUACACAGCCCUGGCUGGCCUGGAAGUCACUAAGUAGACCAGGCUGAGGGGCUGGGGAUUUAGCUCAGUGGUAGAGCGCUUACCUAGGAAGCGCAAGGCCCUGGGUUCGGUCCCCAGCUCCGAAAAAAAAAGAAAAAAAAAAAAAAAGUAGACCAGGCUGGCCCUCCGACUCACAGAAGUCCGCCUGCCUCUGCCUCCUGAGUGCUGGGCGGCAUGUUACUGCACCUUUUCUUGACAAAACUCUUUCUGAAGCUUCCAGUUGUUCCUCAAAGAAUGGCUGGAGCUUCGUUGGCUCUUGCUUCCCUGUCAGCCUGUGGUCAUGUGAUAAUGUGUACUGUCUCUGCUCACACAGAUGCUGCUUGGAACACCAGAUAAUACUCCCUACAGCGUAGGAACAGCUGAAGCCUAGCUUCUAUCUAGCCACCACUACCUUAAAAGGAUACGCACAAACUUUUCACAUUAAACAUGACACUAUAUUGUACACCUGUUCUAUUGUGUGUAUGCAAAUAUUAAAGUAUUUAAUAAUAACUCCGGUAGGCAUCAGUGACUACACCUUAGGGAGUGGCACCCACCUGGGGAAAGACUUUUGCUUCCACCUUAUUAAGUCACCAACAGACCUGUUUCUCCUGAACAAUGGAACUAAUAAUACAUUCUUGGAUCCUCCUACCCCCACACUUCAGGUGGUGGGAGGGUAGCUGAGAGGCAGGGCGCUGGCCUAGGGAGGUACUGAGUUCAGUACCAGCCCCUCCUCACAGGCCGCUCUUUCGCUGUCCUAGAGUGGGGUGGGGGUUGACUGAGGAUGAGCCCCUGCUCCUCUUGACUUUACACUCGCACCUUACACAGCUGACUCAACUCUCGCCUCUCAAGUAUUACAGUGAUGCCUAGUGCCAACCUCAACCAGCGUGACGGCCUCUCUCAUCUUCAGGUAUUCCCUGAUGAUCAUUCUUUGCCAACGAGGAGCUUAAACCCCAGCACAGCUGAGCAGGAGAAGUGCUUGCUAGCCGCCUGGCUGAUCCCCCCCCCCCCCCGCACCAUAUAAAACAGGUGUGAUACCGCACAUCUAUAAUCCCAGGUUCAAGAGGACCAGAGGUUCAAGGCUAACCUUGGCUACCUAGUAUGAAUCCAAGGCCAGCCUGGGCUACAUGAGAUUCCCUCUCAUAAAACCAAAAUAAAACCAAAUGAACAUGGGGGGACAGACAUCGAAACAAGAUAAAGAGAAACAAUCCAAAAGCCUUCUUAAGAGAGGCCUUUCCACACAGCACAGGUUAGCCUUGAGUUCAACCUCCUGACUGCCGAGAGUGCACACAGCAUCACCACACCUGGCCGCCCCAUGACCCUUGAACGGUGAUAUCUCUGUUCUGAGGGGAGAGAUGGAUGCCUAACGCUGCCUCGGGACUGAAAGAUGAAGACAUCGCAUGCUGUAGCCUAUGAAGAGCCUGGCCUUGGCCGUCAUCUGGCACUGGAAGGAAGGCAGAGCUCUCUGUUUGAUAUAGUAUCAUCUUGAAUUUUUUCCUGAUAGGGAUACGUUUUUCACUUUAUUCCACAGAAAUAAUAAUAACUAAUAUGUAUUUAGCCAUUGCUUGCUAUAUCCUUGGCACUGUCUUAUAUAUGUCAUGUAUGAUUUAAAAAAAACAAAAAAAAAAAAACAAAACAACAACAACAAAAAAAAAAAACUCUUGUUAACAUCCUUCAAGGCCGGUACUCUUCUAUAGUGGAGGCCACAGGAGCACAGGAACUAAACACAUGCCCUGUCACACCGCCCCACAUUUCACUCAUUGCUAUGAUAAAACACUCUGACCAAAAGCAACUUAGGAGAAGAAGGGGCUAAUUUUAGCAUCUAAGUCACAGUCCACCCUUGAGAGAAGCAGGGACAGGAACUUGUAGCCAGGCAUGCUUGACAUUACCUCUGACCAGGAAACUCAUACACAGGCAAGGAAGUACAGCAGAAACCAUGGAGGGGUGGAACUUCAGUGGACCAUGCAGACUCAAGCUUAGCUAGCUGCCUUAUACAGUCCAGGAUCACAAGUUAGUCCUACCCACAAUGCACUGGGACCUCUUAUGUCAACUGACCAUCAAGACAUCCCCCACAGAAUGCCCACAGGACCAAUCUGAUCUGGGCAGUUCCUCAAAUGGGCCCUCCUCAGGUGAUCUCAUGACUGUGAAAGCUAAGACAGCAUCCUUUGAGGCUGGCCCUGCCCUUACCUACCCUGCUCUCCUGGUGUUCGAUCCAAUAGGGCAGCAAUAUGUUUUCUUCUUCGUCUCCUUUCGUGGCUCCCCCCCUACCCCCUUUAUGCUUGCUCUUUCUCCGCUCAUUCAUUGACUAUCCUUCUUCUCCCCCCUCCCCCCCCCCCCCCCCCCCCCGGAGCUGGGGACCGAAUGCUGGGGCCUUGCGCUUCCUAGGCAAGCGCUCUACCACUGAGCCAAAUCCCCAACCCCCGUUGACUAUCCUAUACUCGGAACUACGCAGGCCGCAGGCCGCUGGGUACACAAAGGCAACUUUACCCCCCUAAAAACCCGAGCAGAGAAAACUAAGAGGAGAGCACAGCUUUAAGCCCAGAACUUGGUGGAGCAGAUGCAGGUGAGGCUCUGAGUUUGAAGCCAGCCUGGUCUGCAUAAUCCAGGUCCAGGCCAUUCAGAGCUACCCAACAAGAUUGGGGGGGGGGGGGGUUAGAGAAAGAAAGAAAAUGAAAGUAAGGGAAGGGACUGGAGUGUGGCCUAAUGGUGAAGGUCACGCUUAGCAUAUGCAAGGGCCUGUGUUCAAAUCCCAGCACCAUCAAGACCAAACACAACCUUGAAGUAAAGAGGUGAGCACGAGCCCUGGAGAGAUGCUCAGUAGUUAAGAGGGCCUGAGUUCCAUUCCCAGCA